GUUUGGGGCCUGAUUGUCGCUCCGCAGUUCUUUCAAAACGCUACGGAGAGGAAAGUCCGGACACCGCAGGGCAGGAUGCCGUGCGAGAGGUUUUGGCCUCAAGCAUGGGCGGCGCGCGUCAAGGCGCGUCGACGGAUAGUGUCACAGAAAACAAACCGCCUGUGCGGCGUGGUUCUUCGUAACUGCGCCAAGCGGGUAAGGGUGAAAAGGUGGGGUAAGAGCCCACCGCGUCGCGCGUGAGCGUUCGGCGGCACGAAAAACCCCAUCCGGUGCAAGGCAAAAUAGGAGACUGGGCGGCCCGUCCUAUAGGUCUCGGGUAUGCUGCAGCGCGUCGCGGUUCGCGGAGCUGGGGCCUUAGGGCCUCGGCUGCGAGGAGCCGCACGAGCCAAGGCGAGGGGAUCUUUUUUCUCUCGGCUUGAGAUAAAUGACAAUCGAAGCGCGCGGGGGCGGUUUACCGCUGCUGGCGCGCGGAACAGAAUCCGGCUUACCGGCCCCAAGCGUGC
RNAcentral lists this RNase P RNA (503 nucleotides) under Cephaloticoccus capnophilus. Its description in RNAcentral is "Bacterial RNase P class A". It matches the Rfam family "Bacterial RNase P class A". From Rfam's summary of the family: Ribonuclease P (RNase P) is a ubiquitous endoribonuclease, found in archaea, bacteria and eukarya as well as chloroplasts and mitochondria. Lineage: Bacteria; Pseudomonadati; Verrucomicrobiota; Opitutia; Opitutales; Opitutaceae. The record is from Rfam by way of RNAcentral.